This 232-nucleotide long non-coding RNA is filed under the name Dermacentor andersoni. RNAcentral describes it as "uncharacterized LOC126531034". Lineage: Eukaryota; Metazoa; Arthropoda; Arachnida; Ixodida; Ixodidae. The record is from RNAcentral.
CAUCAUGUGUAACCAAACUUGCGAGCACAAUUCCUCAUUGCCUGACACAACACCUUGCCACGUGAAGUGCGCAGAUUCUGUCAAGUACUCCUCGUUCCAACUGCCAACUUGCCGACUCUGCGGAACAUGUGAUAAUGGCCAAUGCAAGAAUAGAACUUCGUGUAAUUGAGCCACACGUAGGCACCGCAUACGUGUGGUUCUGGAAUGUUGGAAUAAAAUGUGCUAUGUGAAA